GAAUUAGAGUAAAAACAUUUUCAUUUAAUUAGAUUUAACAUGAACAUUCUGUCCCCUGCUGGGAACUCUAAGAACUACAUCACCUGUACCACCAAUUUUUCUAUGGUCAUAGGGACUUUAGGUUAAACCUUGAAUUCAGUUUUCUAUAUGUUCUUUGUUUUGGUAAUACACAGAAAAUUUUUACAUAAAAUCUGUAAGGCAUUACUUUUAUUAAGGUUCAAUAUCUGUUAAAUAUUGCACAUUUUUGCAUGAUAUAAUGAAUCUAAAUACACUGUAAUAAAAUCAAAUCUUCACCUUCAUUUUAAAUAUGAAUAAAUAUUUUUCAUCUUCGCUCAAACUUAGAGGAGAAAUCUGAUGAGAGAGCAGGUGAAAUUUAAAUACUUGAUUAAAAUAUUUGAUUUUUUAAAAAUAUUCACUGUUUGGUUGUAGGUAGACAUCGAGUAUAUUUAUAUACAACAUUGCCCUACCCAUAGAAAGGAGUGGGUAAUCACUUGAGCAAGUGCAAAGUUAUGGACUGGAGUAUGGACUAUGGGACAAACCAACAAUUUCUUGGGUGUAGCUGGAACGGUGUAUACAUAGGAUAUUUAUCAGUGUGGAGUGGAGAACAAAUGCGAGACUAGAAAUAAGAUGAUAAAACCUUCCCUCUCCAAAACCUAUGAAUAAUAAACACUUUUGCCAGCUAAUAUCUAUGAGCUCUCUGGCUUUGGACAACUUAGAAACUUUCAUUUCCUCAUCUGCAAAGUGGAAAUAUUAGUCAAGUUGUGAGGACUAAAUGAAAUAAUGAUGUAAAGUACCAAGAACAGAGUCUGGGGCUAAGUAAAUGCUUAAUAAAUACUAAAUAUUGAAAUCAUUGUCAACAUCUAACAACAGUAAUACCAGUAGAAACCUAACAAUUUUUAUAUCACUGAUACUAAUUUGUUAGAAAUCUUAAUUGAAAAUAUAUAAAUUUAAUUUUUGUAAAGAGAGGGAUGAGUACAUAUGAUAUACUCAGAGGAAGAUCUAAAGCAAAAUCACUAGAAAACUAGAAAGAAAACAGUGGGAAAAGAUCUUUCAGGCAAAUGCUAACAAAAAGAAAGCUGUAGUCAUGAUAGUAGGAUAAAAUUUAAGANUAUAAUACAAGGUGAAGGAGGAAAUCUUAUGAUGGCAGAAGCUCUACAGAGAAGGUAUACAUUUCAUAAACCUUAAAGCAUUGAAUAAUAUAAUAAUAAAAAUACAUAAAGAAAACUGCAGAACUACAAGGAAAGAUAGUCAGAAAGUAGUACUAGUCUACUUUAAUUCACUUCAUGGAUUAAGAUGUCAAAAUUGGUACGGAUAUAUUUGGAUGAUGAAGUCAAUGAGGUUGAUGAAAUAGAUUUGGUUGAUGAAAUAGAUGAAAUAGGUAUCCCGUUAUCUGAAAACCAAUCUUAGUUUUAAAAGUUCAUGAAACAUUUACCAAACUAACUAUACAUUGGCCCACAUACACACACAGAAAUCUCUUAAUUAAUUCCCAAAAUUAGAACUAAUCCAGACUACAUUCUCUGAUAACUAUGCAAUUCAACAAAAAUGAGUGAACAAAAUAAAAGUGAAGAUUAUAUUUUAAAUAUAAACACUACUUAAAACAACUUUGGUGCAAAAAGGAAAUAAAACUGUUUUUGCAGAAUGUGUACAAAAUAAUAAUUAAAACAUUACACACCAAAACCUAUAGAAUACAACUACUACUGUGUUCAGCAGAUAGUCAUGGUUUCAAACAGGAAUACAAGAAAGAAGAAAAACAACAUACUGUUUAACUAAAAAAAUUAGAAAGUGAGAAGUUCUCCUAUGGCACAGCAGGUUAAGGAUCUAGUGUUGCCAUAGCUGUGGUGCAGAUCUCAACUGCUGUGUGGCCCAGGAACUUCUCGUGCUGUGGGUGCAGCCAAAAAAAAAAAAAAAAAAAAAAAAAAAAAAAGUA
This 1927-nucleotide long non-coding RNA is filed under the name Sus scrofa (pig). Its description in RNAcentral is "lncRNA (ENSSSCG00060069406.1)". The record is from RNAcentral. Lineage: Eukaryota; Metazoa; Chordata; Mammalia; Artiodactyla; Suidae.